RNAcentral lists this ribosomal RNA (852 nucleotides) under Chaetosphaeria cubensis. Its description in RNAcentral is "SSU rRNA". It matches the Rfam family "Eukaryotic small subunit ribosomal RNA", at positions 110 to 970 of the family's 1831-position model. Lineage: Eukaryota; Fungi; Ascomycota; Sordariomycetes; Chaetosphaeriales; Chaetosphaeriaceae. The record is from RNAcentral.
UUAUCGUUUAUUUGAUAGUACCUUUCCUACUUGGAUAACCGUGGUAAUUCUAGAGCUAAUACAUGCUAAAAAUCCCGACUUCGGAAGGGAUGUAUUUAUUAGAUACAGAACCAAUGCCCUCCGGGGCUCUCUGGUGAAUCAUGAUAACUCCGCGGAUCGCACGGCCUUGCGCCGGCGAUGGUUCAUUCAAAUUUCUGCCCUAUCAACUUUCGACGGCUGGGUAUUGGCCAGCCGUGGUGACAACGGGUAACGGAGGGUUAGGGCUCGACCCCGGAGAAGGAGCCUGAGAGACGGCUACUACAUCCAAGGAAGGCAGCAGGCGCGCAAAUUACCCAAUCCCGACUCGGGGAGGUAGUGACGAUAAAUACUGAUCCAGGGCUCUUUUGGGUCUUGGAAUUGGAAUGAGUACAAUUUAAAUCCCUUAACGAGGAACAAUUGGAGGGCAAGUCUGGUGCCAGCAGCCGCGGUAAUUCCAGCUCCAAUAGCGUAUAUUAAAGUUGUUGAGGUUAAAAAGCUCGUAGUUGAACCUUGGGCCUGGCUGGCCGGUCCGCCUCACCGCGUGCACUGGUCCGGCCGGGCCUUUCCCUCUGGGGAACCGCAUGCCCUUCGCUGGGCGUGUCGGGGAACCAGGACUUUUACUCUGAACAAAUCAGAUCGCUCAAAGAAGGCUCUCGCUCGAAUGCAUUAGCAUGGAAUAAUGGAAUAGGACGUGUGGUUCUAUUUUGUUGGUUUCUAGGACCGCCGUAAUGAUUAAUAGGGACAGUCGGGGGCAUCAGUAUUCAAUUGUCAGAGGUGAAAUUCUUGGAUCUAUUGAAGACUAACUACUGCGAAAGCAUUUGCCAAGGAUGUUUU